GUCUACGGCCAUACCACCCUGAACGCGCCCGAUCUCUUCUGAUCUCGGAAGCUAAGCAGGGUCGGGCCUGGUUAGUACUUGGAUGGGAGACCACCUGGGAAUACCGGGUGCUGUAGGCU
RNAcentral lists this ribosomal RNA (119 nucleotides) under Cavia aperea (Brazilian guinea pig). Lineage: Eukaryota; Metazoa; Chordata; Mammalia; Rodentia; Caviidae. The record is from RNAcentral.